Molecule: ribosomal RNA, 461 nt
Filed under: uncultured bacterium
Lineage: Bacteria
Description: partial 16S ribosomal RNA
Rfam family: Bacterial small subunit ribosomal RNA
Source: RNAcentral
CCUACGGGCGGACAGCAGUCGGGAAUAUUGCGCAAUGGAGGAAACUCUGACGCAGUGACGCCGCGUGAAGGUCAGUGCCCUAUGGGCGUUAAACUUCUUUUGUGCGGGAGCAAUAAUGGUCACGUGUGGCCAGACGAGAGUACCGUACGAAUAAGCAUCGGCUAACUCCGUGCCAGCAGCCGCGGUAAUACGGGGGAUGCAAGCGUUAUCCGGAUUUAUUGGGUUUAAAGGGUGCGUAGGCUGUGAGGUAAGUCAGCGGUGAAAUGCCCCCGCUCAACGGGGUGAAGUGCCAUUGAUACUGCCUUGCUGGAAUGCGGAUGCCGUGGGAGGAAUGUGUGGUGUAGCGGUGAAAUGCAUAGAUAUCACACAGAACACCGAUUGCGAAGGCAUCUCACGAAUCCGCGAUUGACGCUGAUGCACGAAAGCGUGGGUAUCAAACAGGAUUAGAUACCCGAGUAGUC